CCUGAUGUGACACCUGUUUACCUGAUUUAACAGCUUCUUUCUCAAUUUCUAUUCUAUGUGAAAACUAAACACUCCACACAAAAUAAAUUGCAGCUUCUAGCCAGGUGUUAGUCUUAAUACAGAGGCCAUAUACAAGAUGUUUAACCAGGCACACCCUUAAAAUUCAACCCUGUUUGUGUUUGCAAUGAACACACAGGGUUGAGUCAUCAUGCAUUAAAAAAAUUUAGUAAUACAGUUCAAACAAUCUUCAGGAUGUUCUCUUCCCAGGAAGCUUCAAUUUUGAGGCUACGUGUCUACUCAUGACAGUAUCACUGUGCUGACUGGAGAAAAUUCAUCAGGCUGAAGAAUAGAUGGCUCCAGCUGGCUGUCAGACAACUGCACACUGAUUGUCCAGGGCAGCCACUGCCUGGAGAGAAAAUAAGAGUGAAAUGUUGGUGCCAAAUGAACUUUUCUGGUUCUUCUGAAUAUGCCACUGUUGCUGGAGAAAUGUCACUGCUAGAGAACAGAAGACUAUUAUUCCAAAGGGUAUUUGAGACUGACUGAAUCAGGUCUGGAACAUUAUUGAAAUGAGACCCACAAAAGAAGAGAUACUGAGGUGGUGACCAGAUGGAUAUAAACGGGCUGUGGAAAAAGAGAAUGCAUGGCCAAAAAUGGUGGUGCUCUCUGUCCAAAAACUGAGGCCCUAUGACCAUGAAUGAAGCCAGAGGGCAGGUAGGAAUAGAUCAUUUGCUCCAGAAGAAGCUGGUUGCCAUGUCUUGAGGACAGUAAACCCUCUGGGGAGGUUCCUGUGGUAAGGAACAAGGGCUCCUGGCAAUAGCCUCUGAGUGAGCCACCUUGAAAAUGGAUUGUCCAGCCCCAGUCAAGCUUUCAGAUGACUGUAGCUCCUGCCAAUGUCUUCACCACAACCUCAUGAGAUCCCAAGCUACAACCACUCAGUUAAGUUAUGCCAAAAUUCCUGAUUCACAGAAAUUGACAUACAGGAGAGGUCACAGUUAAGAUCUUGAUGUUCUAUCUUGACCCAUAAUAUAGGAACUUCAUCUUUUGGGAAGCACCAGGGAGAGCUGCCUGUGCCUGGCAGAAGCUGCCCAUGCCCCACUGAUACCCCACAGUACUUCCUGUUCUGCUUAGUACUCCUGCUUCUUUCUACAAACAACUGUGAUUCUCUACCUGGGAGCUUCCUCUGGCCACAGGAGCCUGCUCACCUGAUUGGGACACCCUAGCAGUACUGGCUCAUAGAUGGAAGGGACUUGCCUUGUCGCUGAUGAGACUUUCGACUUGGACUUUUGAGUCAAUGCUGGAAUGAGUUAAGACUUUGGGGAACUGUUGGAAGGGUGUGAUUGUGUUUUGAAUUGUGAGGACAUGAGAUUUUGAAGAGGCUAAUGGCAGCGUCCCCACCUAAAUCUCUUCUUGAAUUGUAGUUCCCAUAAUCCCCACGUGUCGUGGGGUGGAGCCGGUGGAGAUAAUUGAAUCAUGGGAACACUUUCCCCCAUGCUGUUAUUGUGAUUGUGAAUUCUCACGAGAUCUGAUGGUUGUAUAAACGCCUUCCCUCUUCGCUGGGCACUCAUUUUUCUCCUUCCUGCCACCAUGUGAAGAAGGAUAUGCUUGCUUCUUGUGCCAUGAUUACAAGAACACACUCAGAAAUUUUCUCAACACAGUUUCUAUGCAGAGAAGAGAUGUGGGACAGAUUUGAACUGCUGUCAUAUUUGUAUGAACCCAAGACAUUUUCCAAGACCAAGAGGGAUAAAGACAGCAAUUUCUAUGACUGGCAUUUUACGUGCAUGCACUGUUUCCAAGUGUUCUUGUGUUCUGUGCCUUAAACAUUCUGUGUUGCAACUUUAUGAAUUGAAUUAAAGAUAAUCCCAAGCCCCCAAUUGUCUCAAAAAGUGAAAAAGUAAAUGUUAUAGAAAGAAAAGCGGGAAAAACUUUAAGCAUGAAAUAAAAGAUGGGUUGUGAUAAAAGAGGACUGAAGAAGGAAAAGGAAUGAAAGGUUCUGCCAUCCUUCAUGGCAGCCCACUCCACUUGGUAUGAGAUACUGCUCCCUUGGCUGAAAGUUAACUGCUGUACUCCCUCCACUUUCUAUAAAUGACUCCCUGUGCCUUUCCUUCACCACACAACUCACACUCUCUUCCUUCCUAGUGAGUCCACUAAGGCUUCACUGCAUUAUUACAUUUAUUUCAUUUAGGAAAAACUGACUUUAUUUUCCUUCAAAUUGUUUUUUAUUGUUUAUAUGAGCUUGGUUUUAUUGUCAUUCUAUUUUUCUCCAUGAAAAUAGAGAAAAAUAGGGUCGAAAGGUUAGGUUGGGUGGAAAGGAAUUAUAUUUUUUCUCACUAAAAUUGAUGUAAAUAUCGUUUUCAAUUGAAUGAUUUUACACAGUGGCACAGUUUCAGGUAUGUUGCUAAGCAGGAAAGUUGUUAACCAAAGCAUGAAUGUAUUAAGGAGAUGUAUGCAGAAUGACAUGCAAGGUUAUCUAUGAUUGCUGAGUGAGAAAGAGCAAGUUGCUGAGUAUUAUAUAAGUAUGAUCUCACUUUUGUAAAAAAAAAAAAAAAAAAAGGCCUGGACUGAUCUGAAAUGACCCUAUUAAUAACAAUUAUGUCCAGGUCUGUAUUGCAUACUUGUCAUUCAUUACAGGAUCUUGAGACACAAUGCAAAGGAUCACAUCGCAGCUCUGUAACUUGUUAACUAUAAGAUUUUGAGUAACAUAACACCUUACUCCUUAAAAUUGCUUAAAAAAAAUCUGAACAUCAGGAAUAUUCUACUUCACAGGGUCGUUGUGAUAAUUAAAUGUAGUAAUCAAUGACAAUAGUGCCAGAUACAGUAGAUAGCCUACACUUUGCAGCUACUAUUUCUAUCUAUCAUCCAUCUAUUAAUAUAUAUCAUCUAUCUUUAACUUAUCAUCUAUCUUGUUCCAGUUUUUUAAAAUGAACAUGUAUUAACUUUGUAAAAAAUUAAGGCUAUAAGAUGUGCUGAGCUUUUGGAAUAGAUUUUCCUGUACUAUAUAUGACUGCCAGUGGGAGAAUUUGAAUAAAUGUGUAAAUUUGACUAA
RNAcentral lists this long non-coding RNA (3043 nucleotides) under Homo sapiens (human). RNAcentral describes it as "HSALNT0337687". Lineage: Eukaryota; Metazoa; Chordata; Mammalia; Primates; Hominidae. The record is from RNAcentral.